GACGAACGCUGGCGGCGUGCUUAACACAUGCAAGUCGAACGGAAAGGCCCUGCUUUUGUGGGGUGCUCGAGUGGCGAACGGGUGAGUAACACGUGAGUAACCUGCCCUUGACUUUGGGAUAACUUCAGGAAACUGGGGCUAAUACCGGAUAGGAGCUCCUGCUGCAUGGUGGGGGUUGGAAAGUUUCGGCGGUUGGGGAUGGACUCGCGGCUUAUCAGCUUGUUGGUGGGGUAGUGGCUUACCAAGGCUUUGACGGGUAGCCGGCCUGAGAGGGUGACCGGCCACAUUGGGACUGAGAUACGGCCCAGACUCCUACGGGAGGCAACAGUGGGGAAUAUUGCACAAUGGGCGGAAGUCUGAUGCAGCAACGCCGCGUGCGGGAUGACGGCCUUCGGGUUGUAAACCACUUUCGCCUGUGACGAGGCGUGAGUGACGGUAAUGGGUAAAGAAGCAACGGCUAACUACGUG
This 468-nucleotide ribosomal RNA is filed under the name uncultured bacterium. RNAcentral describes it as "partial 16S ribosomal RNA". It matches the Rfam family "Bacterial small subunit ribosomal RNA", at positions 28 to 507 of the family's 1533-position model. The record is from RNAcentral.